GCCGGGGUGGCUCAGCCUGGCGGAGCGACGGACUCAUAUGGCCCGGGCAUCUUGCCCGGGUCCGAGAGAUCCGUAGGUCAUGGGUUCAAAUCCCAUUCCCGGCA
Molecule: transfer RNA, 104 nt
Filed under: Methanomassiliicoccales archaeon RumEn M1
Lineage: Archaea; Methanobacteriati; Thermoplasmatota; Thermoplasmata; Methanomassiliicoccales
Rfam family: tRNA
About the family: Transfer RNA (tRNA) molecules are approximately 80 nucleotides in length. Their secondary structure includes four short double-helical elements and three loops (D, anti-codon, and T loops). Further hydrogen bonds mediate the characteristic L-shaped molecular structure. tRNAs have two regions of fundamental functional importance: the anti-codon, which is responsible for specific mRNA codon recognition, and the 3' end, to which the tRNAs corresponding amino acid is attached (by aminoacyl-tRNA synthetases). tRNAs cope with the degeneracy of the genetic code in two manners: having more than one tRNA (with a specific anti-codon) for a particular amino acid; and 'wobble' base-pairing, i.e. permitting non-standard base-pairing at the 3rd anti-codon position.
Source: Rfam by way of RNAcentral